This is a long non-coding RNA of Canis lupus familiaris (dog), 510 nucleotides long. RefSeq lists it as uncharacterized. The record is from RefSeq and is a predicted model, not a curated record. The transcript is spliced from 3 exons. Lineage: Eukaryota; Metazoa; Chordata; Mammalia; Carnivora; Canidae.
UCGGACAGGCAGGGUCAGUGCAGACACACGGAGGUUUUGAGAAGGGGGUGAGAUGCCCUGAUUUGCAUGUGCAACAGUCAUUCUGGAUGCUGUGCAGAGAAUGGAAGGGACCAUGGCAGGUGUCCCGGCCCAGAGUCCGCAGCCACGGAGACACACAAGAUGCAGACCCCGAUAUAUUGUAGAGAUGGGACUGGCUGGUGGCUUGCCAGGUACAGGGGACAAGGACAAGGUUCCAUACCCAGUGUGCGGCUCAGCAUGGGGCCUGACCUCACAACCCUGAGAUCAAGAGUCAAACGCUAAACUGACUGAGCCAUCCAGGGCACCUGGGUGAUCAAUUGGUUGAGUGCCCAACUUUUGAUUUCAGCUCGGGUCAUGAUCUCAGAGUCUGGAAUCAAGCCUUUCAAUGGGCUCUGCACUAAGCGAAGAUUCCCUCCCUCCCUCUCCCUCUGCCCCUCUUUCUGCUUUCUUUCUCUCUCCCCCUAAAAACAAAUAAAAUCUUUUAAAAAAUUA